RNAcentral lists this ribosomal RNA (253 nucleotides) under uncultured bacterium. Its description in RNAcentral is "partial 16S ribosomal RNA". It matches the Rfam family "Bacterial small subunit ribosomal RNA", at positions 524 to 776 of the family's 1533-position model. The record is from RNAcentral.
GACGAACCGUGCGAACGUUGUUCGGAAUCACUGGGCUUAAAGGGCGCGUAGGCGGGUCUUCAAGUCAGGGGUGAAAUCCUCCGGCUCAACCGGAGAAGCGCUUUUGAUACUGGAGACCUCGAGGGGUGCAGGGGCAUGUGGAACUUCCGGUGGAGCGGUGAAAUGCGUAGAUAUCGGAAGGAACGCCGGUGGCGAAAGCGACGUGCUGGACACCUUCUGACGCUGAGGCGCGAAAGCCAGGGGAGCAAACGGG